GGCUCAGGAUGAACGCUAGCGGCAGGCUUAACACAUGCAAGUCGAGGGGCAGCGCGAUGUAGCAAUACAUUGGCGGCGACCGGCGCACGGGUGCGUAACACGUAUGGAACUUACCCUUUACUGGGAGAUAGCCCGGAGAAAUCCGGAUUAAUAUCCCAUAAUAUACGAAGUGGCAUCACUUUGUUUUGAAAGCUCCGGCGGUAAAGGAUGGCCAUGCGCACGAUUAGCUAGUAGGUGAGGUAACGGCUCACCUAGGCUACGAUCGUUAGGGGGCCUGAGAGGGUUAUCCCCCACACUGGUACUGAGACACGGACCAGACUCCUACGGGAGGCAGCAGUGAGGAAUAUUGCGCAAUGGAGGCAACUCUGACGCAGCCAUGCCGCGUGCAGGAAGAAGGCGCUACGCGUCGUAAACUGCUUUUACCAGGGAAGAAACCCCCAGACGUGUCUGGGGUUGACGGUACCUGAGGAAUAAGCACCGGCUAACUUCGUG
This 492-nucleotide ribosomal RNA is filed under the name uncultured bacterium. RNAcentral describes it as "bacterial SSU rRNA". It matches the Rfam family "Bacterial small subunit ribosomal RNA", at positions 21 to 507 of the family's 1533-position model. The record is from RNAcentral.